RNAcentral lists this long non-coding RNA (524 nucleotides) under Gossypium raimondii (Peruvian cotton). RNAcentral describes it as "long non-coding RNA (GRAI_LNC003761)". Lineage: Eukaryota; Viridiplantae; Streptophyta; Magnoliopsida; Malvales; Malvaceae. The record is from RNAcentral.
UUUGGUAUCAGAUUUUGGGCGUUUUGGGUGUUCUUGGUUGAUUUCUAAACUGAUCUCUAUUUUUUAAAGCACAAACAGCAGUUUUACCCAGAAAAAUUGUUCAAAAAAAUUCAUUUGGGUGUGUAAACAUUGUCCGAUUGAUCUGAAAUUUUACAUACAUAUUUGUGGCACUGUGGUUGAAUAUAAAAAAAUUAUUCCCGCAAAAAAAUCAGUCAAAAAAGUCAAAAAAAUCAAAAAAUACGAAAUUCAAUAAAAAAUUAAAAAAAAGAUUCAGCGGGUUGAAUUUGGUGCCCAAAAUUUCCAGAUCAAAAAUUCAAUAUUUAAGUACAUUCCAGAUUUAAUUUCGUGAUUUUUAGAGAUCGGGAACACCUCGAACGAAGUUGUCAAGUUACUCCGCAGUUUUUCAGGUUUUCUGGUUUUAGCAAUUUUUAUUGAUUCUUAGCUGUAGGUUUUCAUUUGUUUGCUUUUUAUUCUUCUGUUACGUUAUCUAACACCUUCUUGUUUCUUGUGUUAGUAGGAUUUAC